AGAGAGAGACAUGCGCGCAUAUCAAUAAGCGGAGGAAAAGAAACUAACAAGGAUUCCCUUAGUAACGGCGAGUGAAGCGGGAAGAGCUCAAAUUUGAAAUCUUCAAGGUUUUACCUUGACGAAUUGUAGUUUAAAGAAGUGUUUUCUGCUGAAGUUUUGGUAAAAGUUCUUUGGAAUAGGACAUCAUAGAGGGUGAGAAUCCCGUAUUUGACCAUUAUUUCAGCUUUGUGAUACACUUUCAAAGAGUCGGAUUGUUUGGGAAUGCAGUCCAAAAUGGGUGGUAAAUUUCAUCUAAAGCUAAAUAUUGGCGAGAGACCGAUAGCGAACAAGUACCGUGAGGGAAAGAUGAAAAGAACUUUGAAAAGAGAGUUAAACAGUACGUGAAAUUGUCAAAAGGGAAGCGUUUGACACCAGUGUUGUUUUCUCGAAAAUCAAUUAAAAAUGGCUCGAUUUUGUAUUGCUUGAGACCUUAAAAGCUCACUGUACAUUUUUCGUGUCUUUUUAAUGCACUUUUCGUUUAACAAGUCAACAUCAGUUUCUUUUGUUGUAAAAGGGUCAUUGGAAGGUGGCUUUCUUUUCGGAGAAAGUGUUUAUAGCCUUUGGCCUCUGCAAUCGGAGAGACUGAGGUCUGCAGCGUAGACUCUUCGGGGUUAGAUACAUUUGUGCUAAGUUAUAGCUUUUUAUAGACAACUUGUUGACUAUAAUUAGUCUUGUAGCUUACUCGCUUAUGCUAUUUUACCUACGCUUAGGAUGUUGAAGAUGUAGCACAUCAU
This 773-nucleotide ribosomal RNA is filed under the name uncultured Neocallimastigales. RNAcentral's name for it is "partial large subunit ribosomal RNA". It matches the Rfam family "Eukaryotic large subunit ribosomal RNA", at positions 23 to 620 of the family's 3401-position model. Lineage: Eukaryota; Fungi; Neocallimastigomycota; Neocallimastigomycetes; Neocallimastigales. The record is from RNAcentral.